UCUGAAUCUGCGUACGGCUCCGCAAACCAGUUGUAAACUAUAGCAAGCAAGCCCGGGGUCGGCCUUCACGGGCUGGUUCCGGGUGAUAUGGAUAACCCUGGUAAUUCUGAGGCUAAUACAUGACCGUAAAACCUAGCUGACCGGCUUCGGCUGGGAUGCUGGGGGACGUGUGAUUUGGGCUUGGUAACACCGGGAAGGGGCGCACGUCUAGACCACCGUAAAGGUCGGUCUCCUCCUCGGAGGGGGUCGUCUCAGUGGCUCUUGCUGUGUGCUUCUGACCUAUCAACUAGACGGCAGCGUAAGGGACAUGCUAUGGU
This 317-nucleotide ribosomal RNA is filed under the name Lamproderma sauteri. Its description in RNAcentral is "bacterial SSU rRNA". It matches the Rfam family "Eukaryotic small subunit ribosomal RNA", at positions 80 to 350 of the family's 1831-position model. RNAcentral also lists the same sequence under 1 other name. The record is from RNAcentral. Lineage: Eukaryota; Evosea; Eumycetozoa; Stemonitida; Stemonitidae.